RNAcentral lists this ribosomal RNA (253 nucleotides) under uncultured bacterium. RNAcentral describes it as "partial 16S ribosomal RNA". It matches the Rfam family "Bacterial small subunit ribosomal RNA", at positions 524 to 776 of the family's 1533-position model. The record is from RNAcentral.
UACGUAGGGGGCAAGCGUUGUCCGGAUUUAUUGGGCGUAAAGAGCGUGUAGGCGGCUUGGUAGGUCCGCUGUGAAAACUCGAGGCUCAACCUCGAGAUGUCGGCGGAAACCACUUGGCUAGAGUCCGGAAGAGGAGAGUGGAAUUCCCGGUGUAGCGGUGAAAUGCGCAGAUAUCAGGAGGAACACCAAUUGCGAAGGCAGCUCGCUGGGACGUUACUGACGCUGAGACGCGAAAGCGUGGGGAGCAAACAGG